Vidua chalybeata is the source of this 559-nucleotide long non-coding RNA. RefSeq lists it as uncharacterized. The record is from RefSeq and is a predicted model, not a curated record. NCBI's taxonomy places the organism in Eukaryota, Metazoa, Chordata, Aves, Passeriformes, Viduidae. The transcript has 4 exons.
CAAGCUGUAGAUGUCCAAAACAAGUACCAAGCACUUGAAUAAUGCUUUAAAGCAUGAUGUCUUCAUUCUUACAUAGCUGCAAAUUUAUAAACAGAUGGUUUCAACAGCUUGAGCUCGCCUCUUUGCAGAUGAUGCCAGAUGCUCCCUCUCUAACAGGCAGCUUAAUUCCCUUUCACCCACGUACACAGAAACAGGUGAUAUCAGAUGCCCCCUCAGCUCCAGGUCUCAGCAAAGUCCUGCCAGAAGACUGCUCCAGCGCAGACUUCCCACAGAGUCACAGUCUCUUUGAGUAUCUACUUGCUCAUCUGGCUGCAGGGCAGUCUCUGCUCCAGCACCUGGAUCACCUUCUCUGCUUCUGUCUUCACUGACCUUGGUGUCUGCAGAGCUAUUUCUCUCACAUAUUCUGACUCCUCUCUUCUCCAGCUGCAACUGCUGCUGCACAGAGGGCUUUUUUCCCACAGAAUCUAGGCCUAUAGACCUCUCACUACCAAAACAUUUCCAUGUAAACACAUUAUGAUCUGUAGAAGUCGCUAGAAAGAUGUGCCUUUGGAAUAAAAAA